Molecule: ribosomal RNA, 303 nt
Filed under: uncultured bacterium
Lineage: Bacteria
Description: partial 16S ribosomal RNA
Rfam family: Bacterial small subunit ribosomal RNA
Source: RNAcentral
AGCAGUCGCCGCGGUAAUACGGAGGGGGCUAGCGUUGUUCGGAAUUACUGGGCGUAAAGCGCACGUAGGCUGCUUUGUAAGUUAGAGGUGAAAGCCUGGUGCUCAACACCAGAACUGCCUUUAAGACUGCAGAGCUAGAACGUCGGAGAGGUGAGUGGAAUUCCGAGUGUAGAGGUGAAAUUCGUAGAUAUUCGGAAGAACACCAGUGGCGAAGGCGGCUCACUGGACGACUGUUGACGCUGAGGUGCGAAAGCGUGGGGAGCAAACAGGAUUAGAUACCCCAGUAGUCCCUGUCUCUUAUAC